AAGACAUUGCGGGAACGGAUGGAACUCCGGGAAAUGUAAAAAGAAGGAAGCUAAACUGGACCGUGGAGGAGGGUCUCAUCCUUGUUAAUGCCGUCUAGGAAUUGCAUCUUAUAGUCAAUGGUCGGUUCAGGCCAUAGUUGACCAGUGCAGAUAAGAGAAGGGCGUGGGAGGAGAUCGCAAGGAGCAUAAAUGCCGCCAACCAGCACACGUCCAGGACGUGGGAGGAGGUGGAAGUCAAAUGGUUUUCCCUCGUUUCCAAGACAAGGAAAAAGGUGAAUUCCAAGAGAUUUGAGUUCGAUCAAUCAGGUGAUCGUGGUCCAGAAGCUCUCCCCCUUGACCCUGUGGAGAGCAAAUUAAUGGAGUUGUUGGGGGAUAAUUUUAUUGUUGAGGGCAUUCUUCCCUAAGACUUGGAUCUCAUCUAUCAUAUAUCACAGCAUAAUCCAAGAGAUGGGGGAACACAGGAGCAACACCUCCAGGCCCAGCAGGAGGAAGAGGCUGAAGGAAAACCAGCCUCAGCAACUAGUAAAAAAACUAGUUAUGACAAACUAUUAUUAUAUAAGGAAGAAAAAAAAGAAAAUUGAAAUUAGAAAAAAAAAAAACUUACAUUACUAAAACUAGAGAAGUCUAUAGAAAAGACAGAAGAGGAAAUAAAAAGGAAAAUGGAACUGCAUAAACUAGAGUGUGAA
Scylla paramamosain (green mud crab) is the source of this 686-nucleotide long non-coding RNA. RefSeq lists it as uncharacterized. The transcript is spliced from 3 exons. The record is from RefSeq and is a predicted model, not a curated record. NCBI's taxonomy places the organism in Eukaryota, Metazoa, Arthropoda, Malacostraca, Decapoda, Portunidae.